GACGAACGCUGGCGGCGUGCUUAACACAUGCAAGUCGAACGGAAAGGCCCUGCUUUUGUGGGGUGCUCGAGUGGCGAACGGGUGAGUAACACGUGAGUAACCUGCCCUUGACUUUGGGAUAACUUCAGGAAACUGGGGCUAAUACCGGAUAUGAGCUCCUGCUGCAUGGUGGGGUUUGGAAAGUUUCGGCGGUUGGGGAUGGACUCGCGGCUUAUCAGCUUGUUGGUGGGGUAGUGGCUUACCAAGGCUUUGACGGGUAGCCGGCCUGAGAGGGUGACCGGCCACAUUGGGACUGAGAUACGGCCCAGACUCCUACGGGAGGCAGCAGUGGGGAAUAUUGCACAAUGGGCGGAAGCCUGAUGCAGCAACGCCGCGUGCGGGAUGACGGCCUUCGGGUUGUAAACCGCUUUAGCCUGUGACGAAGCGUGAGUGACGGUAAUGGGUAAAGAAGCACCGGCUAACUACGUG
RNAcentral lists this ribosomal RNA (468 nucleotides) under uncultured bacterium. RNAcentral describes it as "partial 16S ribosomal RNA". It matches the Rfam family "Bacterial small subunit ribosomal RNA", at positions 28 to 507 of the family's 1533-position model. The record is from RNAcentral.